UCCUACGGGAGGCAGCAGUAGGGAAUAUUGGACAAUGGGGGCAACCCUGAUCCAGCCAUGCCGCGUGCGGGAAGAAGGCCUUCGGGUUGUAAACCGCUUUUGUCCGGAAAGAAAAGGCAUCUCCUAAUACGGGAUGUUCUUGACGGUACUGGAAGAAUAAGCACCGGCUAACUACGUGCCAGCACCCGCGGUAAUA
RNAcentral lists this ribosomal RNA (196 nucleotides) under uncultured bacterium. RNAcentral's name for it is "partial 16S ribosomal RNA". It matches the Rfam family "Bacterial small subunit ribosomal RNA", at positions 337 to 525 of the family's 1533-position model. The record is from RNAcentral.